RNAcentral lists this unclassified non-coding RNA (1231 nucleotides) under Hevea brasiliensis (rubber tree). Lineage: Eukaryota; Viridiplantae; Streptophyta; Magnoliopsida; Malpighiales; Euphorbiaceae. The record is from RNAcentral.
ACAGGCUGGGCAGCUGGUCGAGCAGGCUCGGAAGCUUUCAGCUGGGGUGCUGGCCGACUCGGCUCCACUGCUUUCGGCUGCGGAGCUGGCCUAAUCGGCUCAGUUGCUACAGGCUGUGGUGUAGGACGAAUAGUCUCAGUUGUUUUAGGUUGAGGUACCGGCUGCGGCACAGAACGACUCGGCUCAGUGAUUUUAUGCAGAGGGAUCGGCCGAAUCGGCUCAGUCAUUUUGUGCGGAGUUUCUAAGCGAGUUGACCGAGUUGACUCUGAUUGAGCCACGUCAUCCUCGUCCACUACUACUCUACCAUCCCUGCUCAUUCUAGGGCUUCUCUUCACAUUUCCUUGCGACGAUUGCCCCUGUGAAAACUCUUGACCAGGCAUGCCAAGUUGGCCGAGUGGCCCCAGUUGCCCAAGCUGUCCGAGCUGACUCACCUGCAACUCGUGAUCGUACAUUGCCUUCUUCGAGGGGUUGGAGAACACCAUCCAAGCCUCAGAAACGAGCCUAAAAGCAUGAUCUGCAAAAGAAAGCCUAUUCCUGGUAGGAUUCAACAACAAAGCAAGCUUACGGUACUGACUCGCGACAAGUUCCAUGGACUGAGACAAUCUCGGGAGUUGAAGGAUCGCGUAAUAGUCAUGGCUACCACCGCCGUUGUAGUUAAUGAUUCUCAACUCUCCGGCCAGGAGCGUAUCAGCGAUGGCGAUAAUUUGAUCGGAGAACUCUAGGAGCCUCGGGUCAGACUCUCGGGCUCGAAUCGCGAAGGACUUGGCGCCCUGGAAAUCGCGCGCCGUGAGAAGCUUCUCGGCUAUGGUGAGCCACCGCUCCGCUUCUAUUCUGUAGCCACUACCGUCCAUUUUCAUUUUCCCCUUUCUCUCUCUACACUUUUUUUCUUAAUUUUUAUUUUUUAGGUCAAGGGAAGAAGAGAGACAAAAGGAAGAGGAACUUUCUGAGUGGACGAAAAAGGACUGUACUUCUCUAGAAAUGAUGACAAUUUUCAAGCUUCGGGUAAGGUAUCAGGCAUUUUAGAACGAGGGCGUUUUAGUCAUUUGGUGAUAUCCAGUUCUGGUAAUCGGAGACGUCCCUUCUGUUUUGAGCGGACGAAAGAGGACAAUGAAGAAGAGGAAGUGAAAGGUGAGGAAGAGAGACAGUGUGAGGGUAAUAUGGUCAUUUAGGGGGACGGAGCGGAGGGGUCGAGCUUAUGGUUUUCCUAACGUUUUUUUUUCUUCUGGUUGGG